UACGAAGGUCCCGAGCGUUGUUCGGAAUCACUGGGCGUAAAGGGAGCGUAGGCGGCGCGGUAAGUCAGAUGUGAAAUCCCGGGGCUCAACCCCGGAACUGCAUCCGAUACUGCCGUGCUAGAGGAUUGGAGAGGUAGCUGGAAUUCUUGGUGUAGCAGUGAAAUGCGUGGAUAUCAAAGAGGAACACUCGUGGCGAAAGCGAGCUACUGGACAACUCCUGACGCUGAGGCUCGAAGGCCAGGGUAGCGAAAGGG
RNAcentral lists this ribosomal RNA (254 nucleotides) under uncultured bacterium. Its description in RNAcentral is "partial 16S ribosomal RNA". It matches the Rfam family "Bacterial small subunit ribosomal RNA", at positions 524 to 776 of the family's 1533-position model. The record is from RNAcentral.